This 29-nucleotide small RNA is filed under the name Arabidopsis thaliana (thale cress). RNAcentral's name for it is "ATSL149540". Lineage: Eukaryota; Viridiplantae; Streptophyta; Magnoliopsida; Brassicales; Brassicaceae. The record is from RNAcentral.
UGAUUUCUUCUUCUUGUUCUUCUUCUUAC